AUAAAAGUUAUGAUAGGGCAAAGUAGAUAUGUUAAGUGUUUUACAGAGAAUGGGGCACGGUGGAAACCCAUAAAUACACAUUUCGAAACUCACCCUUGAACUGUAGGCUGAAGUAAUAGUAAGCUGAUCCGGUGAAAGCCGUUAUUUUAAUGAAGUAAGAAAUUUGGGUGGUACCGCGACAGACCUUUCGCCCCAUGA
This 198-nucleotide non-coding RNA is filed under the name Clostridium magnum. RNAcentral's name for it is "T-box sequence". It matches the Rfam family "T-box leader". Rfam says of the family: Uncharged tRNA acts as the effector for transcription antitermination of genes in the T-box leader family. T-boxes are found upstream of many aminoacyl-tRNA synthetase genes and some amino acid biosynthetic genes usually in Gram-positive bacteria. Lineage: Bacteria; Bacillati; Bacillota; Clostridia; Eubacteriales; Clostridiaceae. The record is from RNAcentral.